RNAcentral lists this ribosomal RNA (1075 nucleotides) under Salmonella enterica subsp. enterica serovar Agona. RNAcentral describes it as "partial 23S ribosomal RNA". It matches the Rfam family "Bacterial large subunit ribosomal RNA", at positions 468 to 1547 of the family's 2925-position model. Lineage: Bacteria; Pseudomonadati; Pseudomonadota; Gammaproteobacteria; Enterobacterales; Enterobacteriaceae. The record is from RNAcentral.
AAAUACUCCUGACUGACCGAUAGUGAACCAGUACCGUGAGGGAAAGGCGAAAAGAACCCCGGCGAGGGGAGUGAAAAAGAACCUGAAACCGUGUACGUACAAGCAGUGGGAGCACCCUUUGGGGUGUGACUGCGUACCUUUUGUAUAAUGGGUCAGCGACUUAUAUUCUGUAGCAAGGUUAACCGAAUAGGGGAGCCGGAGGGAAACCGAGUCUUAAUUGGGCGUUAAGUUGCAGGGUAUAGACCCGAAACCCGGUGAUCUAGCCAUGGGCAGGUUGAAGGUUGGGUAACACUAACUGGAGGACCGAACCGACUAAUGUUGAAAAAUUAGCGGAUGACCUGUGGCUGGGGGUGAAAGGCCAAUCAAACCGGGAGAUAGCUGGUUCUCCCCGAAAGCUAUUUAGGUAGCGCCUCGUGAAUUCAUCUCCGGGGGUAGAGCACUGUUUCGGCUAGGGGGCCAUCCCGGCUUACCAACCCGAUGCAAACUGCGAAUACCGGAGAAUGUUAUCACGGGAGACACACGGCGGGUGCUAACGUCCGUCGUGAAGAGGGAAACAACCCAGACCGCCAGCUAAGGUCCCAAAGUCAUGGUUAAGUGGGAAACGAUGUGGGAAGGCCCAGACAGCCAGGAUGUUGGCUUAGAAGCAGCCAUCAUUUAAAGAAAGCGUAAUAGCUCACUGGUCGAGUCGGCCUGCGCGGAAGAUGUAACGGGGCUAAACCAUGCACCGAAGCUGCGGCAGCGACACUGUGUGUUGUUGGGUAGGGGAGCGUUCUGUAAGCCUGUGAAGGUGGCCUGUGAGGGUUGCUGGAGGUAUCAGAAGUGCGAAUGCUGACAUAAGUAACGAUAAAGCGGGUGAAAAGCCCGCUCGCCGGAAGACCAAGGGUUCCUGUCCAACGUUAAUCGGGGCAGGGUGAGUCGACCCCUAAGGCGAGGCCGAAAGGCGUAGUCGAUGGGAAACGGGUUAAUAUUCCCGUACUUGGUGUUACUGCGAAGGGGGGACGGAGAAGGCUAUGUUGGCCGGGCGACGGUUGUCCCGGUUUAAGCGUGUAGGUGUGUGUUCCAGGUAAAUCCGGUU